CUACUUUCAGAGAAACACCAACCGACCAGCAAACACCAACUCCAGCAGCGGCCGCUGUGCUUGCGCCUGCUAUCAGAGGCAAGUUGGAGGAGGGAGAAGGCGGAAGCGGAAACCCGGCCCCAAUAUCCGGUCGGUCCAGGCAGUGUUGGAGAGCCGAAAAGGUAAUACCCAAUCAGAGGGCAGAAGUAGCUCCAGAGUUAGCAAAUCAGCAAGAGGAGAGGCGGACCCCCGAGUAAAACUCGUGACUCGGGAAGCACCUGCGUGGAGGGCGCUGCGCCGAGCCAGCACUGGGCAGGCGGAAGUAGUAAGUGAUUUAAGGAGGCAGAAAGAGAAAAAGGAGAUUCACUGAUAAGUUUUAUAGCUUGGAAAACCGUGAACAGAAAUAGCCACAACAGGAAAAGCUGGUUGUGUGGAAUGGGGAAGGAGAUGAGACAAAUGAAGAGGUCAGGUGUGGACGUAUCGAGCACAAGUGACCUGUGAGAUAUUCAGGAGACAUUCAACAGGAUGUUGGAAAUCUAAGUCUGAGGUUUGGGAGAGAGGAGGGUCUAAUUGCAGCAAUGGUGAGCAAGUUAUUUAAUAGUGGUUAGACAUAGUUGAAAAGAGAAUUAGUGAACCAGAAGAUAGAGCAGAAAAAUAUCCAAGCUGAAACAGAACCAAAAGGAUGAAAAACACAAAAAAGAGCAUUUUUUAAAAAACGGUAUGUGAGGGUAAAGGAAAUCAAACCAAAGAUUCAAGAGAAUCACCAUGAACUCCAAGCAAGAUAGAAAGUACCCUCCUGAAAGAAUUGUUUAAAAUCUACAUGUCACUUUAAAAAUGCAUAAGGAGCAUGUAUUUUGAACAGUUCUUUUAGGGAGGGUAUUUUUAUCUUGUUUGGAGUUCAUGGUGAUUCUCUUGAAUCUGUGGUUUGAUUUCCUUUACCAAUUUGGGAAAUUCUUAGCCAUUUUCUCUUCUGCCAUUGCUCCAGUCUUUCUUUAUUCUCCUUGCUAAAAUUACAUUAUAAAACCUAUCCCUCAUAUCCCAUAUUUUUUUUAAUGCUCUUUUCUGUUUUUUUAGGAGGCAGAAAGAGAAAAAGGAGAUUCACUGAUAAGUUUUAUAGCUUGGAAAACCGUGAACAGAAAUAGCCACAACAGGAAAAGCUGGUUGUGUGGAAUGGGAAGGAGAUGAGACAAAUGAAGAGGUCAGGUGUGGACGAUCGAGCACAAGUGACCUGUGAGAUAUUCAGGAGACAUUCAACAGGAUGUUGGAAAUCUAAGUCUGAGGUUUGGGAGAGAGGAGGGUCUAAUUGCAGCAAUGGUGAGCAAGUUAUUUAAUAGUGGUUAGACAUAGUUGAAAAGAGAAUUAGUGAACCAGAAGAUAGAGCAGAAAAAUAUCCAAGCUGAAACAGAACCAAAAGGAUGAAAAACACAAAAAAGAGUAUUUUUUAAAAAACGGUAUGUGAGGGUAAAGGAAAUCAAACCAAAGAUUCAAGAGAAUCACCAUGAACUCCAACAAGAUAGAAAGUACCCUCCCUGAAAGAAUUGUUUAAAAUCUACAUGCCUCUUAUGCAUUUUUUACUUGUCAUCUAAAUUUUUUCAAAACUUAUUUAGUUGCUAGGGAUAUAAUUUCUAAUUAUUGUAAACAUUGAUCCUUUCAAAUAAAAUUGUUGCAUUGCUUUUUAAAAUGUAUCUGGUGGCAUCUAAAUAACCAUAGUAAUUUUAUACUCACCAUAAUCCAUUUUAAAAUGAUAGCUUUUCAUUAAGAAAUUUCAGAUUCUUACUUUUGCUCCAUGAACACUUGCCCCAUCUUCCUGAUAAUAAAAAUAUGUAAUAUAAUUAACUUUUUAAAAUACCCCAUUACUAUAAUAAAACUCUGAAUGUUAAAAUUUAGUUUUGCAUUGACAUCGUUAUUAGCAGUAUACAUUUAAUCAAAGCAACAAAAUAAACCAGAAAAUUUUAUAAUUAUUAAAUAUAAAAAGUAAGACUUUAUUAGAACUUCACGUCUUAAAAGAUCUUGAUGGGCUUGUAUUAUCUAUUGCAGUGUAAUUAGAAAUUAGUACCUUAAAAUAACCAACAUUAUUUCUUACAAUUUCAGAGGGUCGGGAAUCUAACGGGGAUCUCUCAUGAGGCGGUUUCACAUAGCUGUUGUCAGGAAGCCUCAGUUCCUUGCCACAUGGGCGUCUCUAAAGAGUUGCCCAUGACACAGAUGUUGACACCCUCCAGAGUGAGUAAUCCAAGAAAGAAAGAAUGACCAAGAUAGAGGCAUGGUAUCUUUUUAAUAACUUUAUUGAGAUAAAAUUCACAAACCAUAUAAUUCACCCAUUUAAAGUAUACAGUUCAGUGGCUUUUAGUAAAUUCACAGAAUUGUGCAUGUAUCACCACUAUAAAUUUUAGAACAGUAUUGGUGGUGGA
Bos grunniens (domestic yak) is the source of this 2387-nucleotide long non-coding RNA. The record is from Ensembl. NCBI's taxonomy places the organism in Eukaryota, Metazoa, Chordata, Mammalia, Artiodactyla, Bovidae.